RNAcentral lists this ribosomal RNA (419 nucleotides) under uncultured Prevotella sp. RNAcentral describes it as "bacterial SSU rRNA". It matches the Rfam family "Bacterial small subunit ribosomal RNA", at positions 358 to 774 of the family's 1533-position model. Lineage: Bacteria; Pseudomonadati; Bacteroidota; Bacteroidia; Bacteroidales; Prevotellaceae. The record is from RNAcentral.
GGAAUAUUGGUCAAUGGGCGAGAGCCUGAACCAGCCAAGUAGCGUGCAGGACGACGGCCCUAUGGUUUGUAAACUGCUUUUUUGCGGGGAUAAAUUGAGGGACGUGUCCUUCAUUGCAGGUACCGCAUGAAUAAGGACCGGCUAUUUCCGUGCCAGCAGCCGCGGUAAUACGGAAGGUCCGGGCGUUAUCCGGAUUGAUUGGGUUUAAAGGGAGCGCAGGCUGAUGAUUAAGCGUGACGUGUAAUGUAGCCGCUCAACGGCUGAACUGCGUCGCGAACUGGUUAUCUUGAGUGAGUUCGAUGUUGGCGGAAUUCGUGGUGUAGCGGUGAAGUGCUUAGAUAUCACGAAGAACUCCGAUUGCGAAGGCAGCCAACAAGGCCUUUACUGACGCUAAAGCUCGAAGGUGCGGGUAUCGAACA